CCCCCCCCCCCGGGCGGCGCCGGAUUUGCCACCUCGCCCCCCCCUCCCGGGGCGCCAGAUCUGCUGCCCGCCGCCCCCCCACCCCCACUCAUCUUGAUCGGUUUCAGUGAUUUUUAUUUUCGAUUUUGGCGGUUCGCAGGAGAAAUUUGGGUGGACGGACGAACGUGCGCAGCGCACACGGCUCAGAAGGCCACACCAUGCACAAUCAUGUCUGGAGAUCGCGGUGUAGCCAAGUUUAAUUUCAACUGCGGUCAAUAUGGAGUAGCCCUAUCUAAUGGGGUUUUUACAGCUACAGUUUCUUUUUACUUCGUCAAUUAUUUUUUUCCUGACAUCCUAGUUCUCCCCUUCUAUUGAUAUCGUUCUCUUUUUUAUUUUUGUUUUUUUAUCAGUGCGGCGCAUUACACAGAUCUACGCAAGAAAGCUGUGGACAUGUAUUAUGUUACAGAUGCGUACAACAUCACGAGGAAGACUUCAAACAUGUUAUUUUUCGAGCACGUUACCUCGAUGAUAUCAUUGCAAGUGAUACUUUUGUUUCCUUUAAUGAGGGAUGUGGUCACGAUAUAUCUACACCACAUUAUACUCAACAUCAGAUGGUGUGCCCGUACAAAAGACUUAGAUGUCCAAUGUGCAGUCAAUGGUUCACCUCGAUUGCACUGAGCUCACAUCCUCUGAGACGGUAUCAACGGUAUCAGUUCAACUAUUGCCAGCUAGAGUACGGUGCUCUCGUCACUGGUAAUGACAUCUCCAAGUGGGGAGGGUGUGUUUUUAGGGGUAGAGGGGAAGAUUUUGUGUUCUUUAUUGCAGGCAUAUCCUUUUAUUUUCUCUAGCUUGAUGCAUCAACUGCUGCUUCGUCUCAAGUGCCUGCUAAUAUCAAACUGCUGGUGUCUCUGAUUAUAGCUCAGACUCUCCAGGAAAGUGGGUCCUAUGCAGAUCCACCGCUACCUAGUAGUAUGGACGUUGUUUAUCUCUUUAACUUCGGACAUCUCACUGCAGAAAAUGCUUUUAAGAUUUCUGUAUUGAUAGGUUAGUUGUUUAUAUAUAUGUCUUUAUUUGUCCGUUGGCUGAAUUUAAAUUGGAGUGAGUGUUCAUCCUCAAUAGUUAAGUGAAGAUGAACACUCACUCCACCAAUUUAAGUUCAGCCAACGGACAAACAAAGAUAUACAUAUAAACAACUAACCUAUCAAUACAGAAAUCUUAAAAGCAUUUUCUGCGGUGAGAUGUCUGAAGUCAAAGAGAUGAACAACGUCCAUACUCCUAGGUAGCGGUGGAUCUGCAUAGGACCCACUACCCUGGAGAGUCUGAGCUGUGACCAGAGACACCAACAAUUUGAUAUUAGCAGGCCCUUGAGACAAAGCAGCAGCUGAUGCACCAAACCAGAGAAAAUAAAGGGAUGUGCCUGCAAUAAAGAACACAAAGUCUUCCCCUCUACCCCUAAAAACACACCCUUCCCACUUGGAGAUGUCAUAACCAGUGACGAGAGCACUGUACUCUAGCUGACAAUGGUUGAACUGAUAUUAUCUCAGAAGAUGUGAGCUCAGUGCAAUCGAGGUGAACCAUUGACUAAAUAUUGGACAUUUAAGUGUUUUGUACGGGCACACCAUCUGAUGUUGAGUAUAAUGUGGUGUAGAUAUAUCUUGACCACAUCCCUCAUUAGAGCAAACAAAAGUACCAUUUGCAAUGAUAUCAUCGAGGUAACGUGCUCGAAAAAUAAUAUGUUUCAAGUCUUCCUCGUGAUGUUGUGCGCAUCUGUAACAUAAUAUAUGUCCACAGCUUUCUUGCGUAGAUGUGUGUGAUGCACCGCACUGAUAAAAAGCAAAAAUGAAAAAGAGAACGAUAUCAAUAGAAGGGGAGAACUAGAAUGCCAGGAGAAAAAUGAUUAACGAAGUAAAAAGAAACUGUAGCUGUGAAAGCCCCAUUAGAUAGGGCUACUCCACAUUGACCGUAGUUGAAAUUAAGCUUGGCUACACCGCAACCUCCAGAUAUGACUGUGCGUGGUGUGGCCUGCAAAUACGUGACCAGACAGAACCAAUUAUAUGCAAAUUAUAGAUGUACACAAAGAAUGAUGCUAACACCAAAAAGACUAAGUCAAUUAAAAGUAGCUAGUCACAGCUGUAAAGGUUCAAGGAAGAUAUAAUCAAAUGCAACAAUGAAUAUUUUUGAGAAAAAGCAAAUGAUAAUUAUGUUGUUCUAUACAACAGAGGGCUGCCAAUGAGAAGAAGAGAUUUUGCGCAAGAACAAGAAGAGUGGAAGGUUCCAGGGAGGUUCCGGUAAUUCCUUAGGAGCUUUCAGUAAAUGCUAUGGAGGUUCCCGUAAUUCCCAGUGAGGUUCUGGUAAUUCCUAGGGAGCUUUCCAUAAAUACUAAGGAGGUUCCCAUAAUUCCUAGGGUGGUUCCUUUAAAUUCCAGGGAGCUAUAUGUAAAUCCUAGGGAGGUUUCGGUAAAUAUCAAGGACCUAUCCAUAUAUCCUAAGGAGGUUCCUGUAAUUCCCACGGAGGCGUCCGUAAAUCUCAGGGAGGUUUCGAUAAUUCCUAGGGAGGUUCCUGUAAAUCCUAGGGAGGUUCCGGUAAAUUCCCAUGGAGGUGUCCGUAAAUCUCAAGGAGGUUUCUGUAAUUCCUCGGGAGGUUCCUGUAAAUUUAGGGAGGUUCUUGUAAAAUCCAGGGAGCUGUCCGUAAAUCCUGGGGAGAUUCCUGUAAA
This is a long non-coding RNA of Panicum hallii, 2692 nucleotides long. RefSeq lists it as uncharacterized. The record is from RefSeq and is a predicted model, not a curated record. The transcript is spliced from 3 exons. Lineage: Eukaryota; Viridiplantae; Streptophyta; Magnoliopsida; Poales; Poaceae.